GACGAACGCUGGCGGCGUGCUUAACACAUGCAAGUCGAGCGGUAAGGCCCUUUCGGGGGUACACGAGCGGCGAACGGGUGAGUAACACGUGGGUGACCUGCCCUCAGCUCUGGGAUAAGCCUGGGAAACCGGGUCUAAUACCGGAUAUGACUCCAUGACGCAUGUUGUGGGGUGAAAGCCUUGUGCGGCUGAGGGAUGGGCCCGCGGCCUAUCAGCUUGUUGGUGGGGUGAUGGCCUACCAAGGCGACGACGGGUAGCGGCCUGAGAGGGCGACCGGCCACACUGGGACUGAGACACGGCCCAGACU
Molecule: ribosomal RNA, 307 nt
Filed under: uncultured bacterium
Lineage: Bacteria
Description: bacterial SSU rRNA
Rfam family: Bacterial small subunit ribosomal RNA
Source: RNAcentral